RNAcentral lists this ribosomal RNA (1069 nucleotides) under Chaetothyriales sp. CR07/3-3. Its description in RNAcentral is "SSU rRNA". It matches the Rfam family "Eukaryotic small subunit ribosomal RNA", at positions 59 to 1142 of the family's 1831-position model. Lineage: Eukaryota; Fungi; Ascomycota; Eurotiomycetes; Chaetothyriales. The record is from RNAcentral.
CUAAGUAUAAGCAAUCAUACGGUGAAACUGCGAAUGGCUCAUUAAAUCAGUUAUCGUUUAUUUGAUAGUACCUUUACCUGGAUAACCGUGGUAAUUCUAGAGCUAAUACAUGCUAAAAACCCCGACUUCGGGAGGGGUGUAUUUAUUAGAUAAAAAACCAAUGCCCUCUGGGCUCCUUGGUGAUUCAUAAUAACUAAACGAAUCGCAUGGCCUUGCGCCGGCGAUGGUUCAUUCAAAUUUCUGCCCUAUCAACUUUCGAUUGUAAGAUAGAGGCUUACAAUGGUCUUAACGGGUAACGGAGAAUAAGGGUUCGGUUCCGGAGAGGGAGCCUGAGAAACGGCUACCACCUCCAAGGAAGGCAGCAGGCGCGCAAAUUACCCAAUGCUAAUUCAGCGAGGUAGUGACAAUAAAUACUGAUACGGGGCUCUUUCGGGUCUCGUAAUUGGAAUGAGUACAAUCUAAAUCCCUUAACGAGGAACAAUUGGAGGGCAAGUCUGGUCCAGCAGCCGCGGUAAUUCCAGCUCCAAUAGCGUAUAUUAAAGUUGUUGCCGUUAAAAAGCUCGUAGUUGAACCUUGGACCUGGCUGAUCUGUCCUCCUCAUCGAGCGCACGGAUUCGGUCGGGUCUUUCCUUCUGGGGAACCCGAUGCCCUUUACUGGGUGUCGCGGGGAACCAGGACUUUUACCUUGAAAAAAUUAGAGUGUUCAAAGCAGGCAUUUGCUCGAAUACAUUAGCAUGGAAUAAUAGAAUAGGACAUCGGUUCUAUUUUGUUGGUUUCUAGGACCGCUGUAAUGAUUAAUAGGGAUAGUCGGGGGCGUCAGUAUUCAAUUGUCAGAGGUGAAAUUCUUGGAUUUAUUGAAGACUAGCUACUGCGAAAGCAUUCGCCAAGGAUGUUUUCAUUAAUCAGUGAACGAAAGUUAGGGGAUCGAAGACGAUCAGAUACCGUCGUAGUCUUAACCAUAAACUAUGCCGACUAGGGAUCGGACGGUGGUUUUUUUAUGCCCCGUUCGGCACCUUACGAGAAAUCAAAGUUUUUGGGCUCGGGGGGGAGUAUGGUCGCAAGGCUGAAA